GUUUCCCUCUCCCAGGAGCCUGUGCCAUGGCCCCUGUUCCUGCCUCCGCAGUCUCCUUACCUGUGCAGUGGGCACGCUGCUCCAGUUUCGAGUGACCCAUCACGGACUGAUGAGAAAACCAAAAGGUUCCUUUUGUGGAUUUCUCUAAGAUUUUCCCUUCACUUCAUCCUGCCUCCGGCUUCCUUCGAAGGCAUCCCGGCGUUGGAAAGACACAGCGGCAAGGGCUGAUCCGAGCCCCCUGGCGAAUUAGAUAAAACAGCGAUUGCUUCUGUGACGUUGCACGCUACAUGAUUUUAUGAAAAUAUGCUAAUGAGGGUGAAUAUAAUGUAACUGGAAUAUGCUUCAUGCAAAAGGUCUCUUGUAAGGUAUCAUUACAAAGCUUAUAAUGUCAUGAGCGAGGUCAGCCUAUUUGUAUGCAGGUAUCACUCUUGUAUCUGAAACUACAAAUAUGAAAUAGAACUCUGAGGGCCUAUUGUAAUUAUGCAAAGUGGGAUCCAUUAAUGGUGGUUUGGAAUCUUGGCUCCCAUUAACCAGGACAAUGG
Mauremys mutica (yellowpond turtle) is the source of this 542-nucleotide long non-coding RNA. RefSeq lists it as uncharacterized. The transcript is spliced from 3 exons. Lineage: Eukaryota; Metazoa; Chordata; Testudines; Geoemydidae. The record is from RefSeq and is a predicted model, not a curated record.